AGUGAACGCUGGCGGUAGGCCUAACACAUGCAAGUCGAACGGCAGCACAGUAAGAGCUUGCUCUUACGGGUGGCGAGUGGCGGACGGGUGAGGAAUACAUCGGAAUCUACUUUUUCGUGGGGGAUAACGUAGGGAAACUUACGCUAAUACCGCAUACGACCUACGGGUGAGAGCAGGGGAUCUUCGGACCUUGCGCGAUUGAAUGAGCCGAUGUCGGAUUAGCUAGUUGGCGGGGUAAAGGCCCACCAAGGCGACGAUCCGUAGCUGGUCUGAGAGGAUGAUCAGCCACACUGGAACUGAGACACGGUCCAGACUCCUACGGGAGGCAGCAGUGGGGAAUAUUGGACAAUGGGCGCAAGCCUGAUCCAGCCAUACCGCGUGGGUGAAGAAGGCCUCCGGGUUGUAAAGCCCUUUUGUUGGGAAAGAAAAGCAGCAGGUUAAUACCCCGCUGUUCUGACGGUACCCAAAGAAUAAGCACCGGCUAACUUCGU
This 491-nucleotide ribosomal RNA is filed under the name uncultured bacterium. Its description in RNAcentral is "partial 16S ribosomal RNA". It matches the Rfam family "Bacterial small subunit ribosomal RNA", at positions 29 to 506 of the family's 1533-position model. The record is from RNAcentral.